This 225-nucleotide ribosomal RNA is filed under the name uncultured bacterium. Its description in RNAcentral is "partial 16S ribosomal RNA". It matches the Rfam family "Bacterial small subunit ribosomal RNA", at positions 97 to 339 of the family's 1533-position model. The record is from RNAcentral.
GGCGGACGGGUGAGUAACGCGUGGGAAUUUGCCUUUCGGUACGGAAUAACUAAGGGAAACUUUGGCUAAUACCGCAUACGCCCUACGGGGGAAAGAUUUAUCGCCGAUUGAGAAGCCCGCGUCGGAUUAGCUUGUUGGUGAGGUAAUGGCUCACCAAGGCGACGAUCCGUAGCUGGUCUGAGAGGAUGACCAGCCACACUGGGACUGAGACACGGCCCAGACUCC